AUGGUUAAAAUUGAUUUUGCCAAGGCUUUUGAUCGACUAGAAUGGAAUUUUGUAGUCUUGGCUCUUGCACGUAAAGGGCUGCAUGAGCAUUUAAUUAACUUGAUCUACGCUUGCAUCUCCACACCCACCUUUUCCGUUAUUAUUAAUGGCCAACCAUAUGCAAAGUUUAGGAAUAACAGAGGCAUCAGGCAAGGCUGUCCACUAUCUCCCUAUCUUUUCGUUCUUGCUAUAAAUGAGCUAUCCAUUUCUUUGUAGGAAGCAAUGAUGUCUAACCAACUCACAGGAAUUUCUCUUGGCCCUAAUUGCCCUGCCAUCCACUCACUCAUGUUUGCAGAUGAUCUAUUAGUUUGUGGCCAAGCUUCCAUACAAGAGGCAACUACAAUGAGUCAACUCAUUCAAGCUUUCUGCAAUAAAUUAGGUCAGACACCAAACUGGCAUAAAUCUGGAAUUAUUUUUAACAAAGGUGUGGAUAAUAACAUUAGGCAAGCAAUCAAAAGCAUAUUUCCCGUUCCAGACAUAGAUCAACACACCAUUCAUUAG
Molecule: ribosomal RNA, 540 nt
Filed under: Triticum aestivum (bread wheat)
Lineage: Eukaryota; Viridiplantae; Streptophyta; Magnoliopsida; Poales; Poaceae
Description: partial small subunit ribosomal RNA
Source: RNAcentral